CAGCCGCCGCGGGAAUACGUAGGGUGCAAGCGUUAAUCGGAAUUACUGGGCGUAAAGCGUGCGCAGGCGGUUAUAUAAGACAGAUGUGAAAUCCCCGGGCUCAACCUGGGAACUGCAUUUGUGACUGUAUAGCUAGAGUACGGCAGAGGGGGAUGGAAUUCCGCGUGUAGCAGUGAAAUGCGUAGAUAUGCGGAGGAACACCGAUGGCGAAGGCAAUCCCCUGGACCUGUACUGACGCUCAUGCACGAAAGCGUGGGGAGCAAACAGGAUUAGAUACCCCCGUAGUCCCUGUCUCUUAUAC
This 301-nucleotide ribosomal RNA is filed under the name uncultured bacterium. Its description in RNAcentral is "partial 16S ribosomal RNA". It matches the Rfam family "Bacterial small subunit ribosomal RNA", at positions 509 to 807 of the family's 1533-position model. The record is from RNAcentral.